Long non-coding RNA from Hyaena hyaena (striped hyena), 1142 nucleotides. RefSeq lists it as uncharacterized. The record is from RefSeq and is a predicted model, not a curated record. The transcript is spliced from 3 exons. NCBI's taxonomy places the organism in Eukaryota, Metazoa, Chordata, Mammalia, Carnivora, Hyaenidae.
ACUAUUUUAGCUGUAAUCAAGUGGAAAUUAUCGUCAGCUCCGUGGGUAUAAAGACGCAGCUGCGAGGAGACCUGUCUGUCUUAAAACCCCCAAGGAAGUUUCAAAGGGGCGCCAUAAUAAGGUGGAUGAUACUCCAAUUAAUGCCUCCCGGCUGAAAUUCCAAAGCCUGCGCGACAAACCUGUUUCCAUCAUGUCCUGGCUUUUGCCUUCCCAACCACGACAGCAUGGAGACUCAGAGCCGGGCAAGACAAGCCUCGAGGGAGCGAUCCUGCGGCAGGGAGCUGGCGGAGCCCUCAAGCUGGCCAUGCUAAAUACACCGGAUUCACUUGGAUGCAAACACCUCUGGAGGUCCUUGCGUGGCUUCCUGGAAAUGCUCUGAGGCCCGAGGAGAGUGGAACAUGCCAGAAAUACCUGCGAGGGAGAGAAUUAGACACCAGAAAAGAAGGCGUCAGAGGGAGUAGCUGCUGCAUUUCUGGCGACUCCAUCGUGCUGGGCUCUUUGAAGGGGCGGGACCAAACUGAGUGCGGCUGUGAAGCACGGGGCUUGAGAAGCACCUCCCCAGGGGAGCGGGGACCUCUGUUGCCUCAGUGGCCCCCGCGAACGGCCUUCUGCACUUGACUUUGUGCAGGUUUGUGCUGCCUCCACGAGGACAGCGUCAGGACGGAGCUGGAUUCAGGACGCCGGCUGGUGUCACAGAAUUGUGUCGCGCGGGGAAAACCCCACACGUCUGGUGACCAGGGGUGUCAGAAGGGAAAUGUUCUGUGUGACAGUACAGGAGACGUUCGGAGAGAAGAAGCGGGUUUUCCCCUCCUCAGGAGGACGACCGGGUUUUUCCAGAACAAAGAGAAGGGAAAAAAAGAAACACUUUGUACUAUAGGCAAUGCCUACCGAGACCGGACAGUCUGAACCUGGGUUCAGGACAAGUCAUGAACCUGACGGUGAGACAGAGAGGUCAUAAAUAUUCUUAAUGUUGCUGGGCCACGGUGUGUUCAUUCUGCGGCUCCGUGUGAUUGAAAUGGUUGUAAAAAUCCCCCCCCCCCAUCAUAUCUGCCUUGGCUCCUUUCCCUCUUUUUCCCACGGAAUUUUAAGCUCCCUCUUCAUAAAUUCUUCCCGUAGAGAUUUAGCGCCACUGAUGCCCAUGG